GAUGAACGCUGGCGGCGUGCCUAAUACAUGCAAGUCGAGCGAACAGACGAGGAGCUUGCUCCUCUGACGUUAGCGGCGGACGGGUGAGUAACACGUGGAUAACCUACCUAUAAGACUGGGAUAACUUCGGGAAACCGGAGCUAAUACCGGAUAAUAUAUUGAACCGUCUGGUUCAAUAUUGAAAGACGGUUUUGCUGUCACUUAUAGAUGGAUACGCGCCGCAUUAGCUAGUUGGUAAGGUAACGGCUUACCAAGGCAACGAUGCGUAGCCGACGUGAGAGGGUGAUCGGCCACACUGGAACUGAGACACGGUCCAGACUCCUACGGGAGGCAGCAGUAGGGAAUCUUCCGCAAUGGGCUAAAGCGUGACGGAGCAACGCCGCGUGAGUGAUGAAGGUCUUCGGAUCGUAAAACUCUGUUAUUAGGGAAGAACAAAUGUGUAAGUAACUAUGCACGUCUUGACGGUACCUAAUCAGAAAGCCACGGCUAACUACGUG
Molecule: ribosomal RNA, 497 nt
Filed under: uncultured bacterium
Lineage: Bacteria
Description: partial 16S ribosomal RNA
Rfam family: Bacterial small subunit ribosomal RNA
Source: RNAcentral